RNAcentral lists this ribosomal RNA (487 nucleotides) under Providencia rettgeri. Its description in RNAcentral is "partial 23S ribosomal RNA". It matches the Rfam family "Bacterial large subunit ribosomal RNA", at positions 1 to 527 of the family's 2925-position model. Lineage: Bacteria; Pseudomonadati; Pseudomonadota; Gammaproteobacteria; Enterobacterales; Morganellaceae. The record is from RNAcentral.
GGUUAAGCGACUAAGCGUACACGGUGGAUGCCUAGGCAAUCAGAGGCGAUGAAGGACGUGCUAAUCUGCGAUAAGCGUCGGUAAGGUGAUAUGAACCGUUACAACCGACGAUUUCCGAAUGGGGAAACCCAGUGCAAUUCGUUGCACUAUCGUUUGAUGAAUACAUAGUCAAACGAAGCGAACCGGGGGAACUGAAACAUCUCAGUACCCCGAGGAAAAGAAAUCAACCGAGAUUCCCCUAGUAGCGGCGAGCGAACGGGGAGCAGCCCAGAGUCUUAAUCAGCAUUAGCAUCAGGAGAACGGUCUGGAAAGUCCGGCAGUAAAGGGUGAUAGCCCCGUAUCCGAAGGUGUUAGUGUUGUGAACUCGACGAGUAGGGCGGGACACGUGUUAUCCUGUCUGAAUAUGGGGGGACCAUCCUCCAAGGCUAAAUACUCCUGAUUGACCGAUAGUGAACCAGUACCGUGAGGGAAAGGCGAAAAGAACCCC